Molecule: ribosomal RNA, 232 nt
Filed under: uncultured bacterium
Lineage: Bacteria
Description: partial 16S ribosomal RNA
Rfam family: Bacterial small subunit ribosomal RNA
Source: RNAcentral
UGGGCAAUCUGCCCUUCACUCUGGGACAAGCCCUGGAAACGGGGUCUAAUACCGGAUAACACCUUCUCCCUCCUGGGAGGGGGUUAAAAGCUCCGGCGGUGAGGGAUGAGCCCGCGGCCUAUCAGCUAGUUGGUGGGGUAAUGGCCUACCAAGGCGACGACGGGUAGCCGGCCUGAGAGGGCGACCGGCCACACUGGGACUGAGACACGGCCCAGACUCCUACGGGAGGCAG